This 75-nucleotide transfer RNA is filed under the name Haliscomenobacter hydrossis DSM 1100. RNAcentral describes it as "tRNA-Val (TAC) (tRNA-Val-TAC-1-1)". It matches the Rfam family "tRNA". Rfam says of the family: Transfer RNA (tRNA) molecules are approximately 80 nucleotides in length. RNAcentral also lists the same sequence under 1 other name. The record is from Rfam by way of RNAcentral. Lineage: Bacteria; Pseudomonadati; Bacteroidota; Saprospiria; Saprospirales; Haliscomenobacteraceae.
GGGUGAUUAGCUCAGCUGGUUUAGAGCAUCUGCCUUACAAGCAGAGGGUCGGCGGUUCGAAUCCGUCAUUACCCA